Molecule: non-coding RNA, 8561 nt
Organism: Osmia lignaria (orchard mason bee)
Lineage: Eukaryota; Metazoa; Arthropoda; Insecta; Hymenoptera; Megachilidae
Source: RefSeq, a predicted model, not a curated record
UUCGCGACGUUUAGAUGUUUCGCGGCUUAGUUAGCAAAGUUGCUGUGAAUUUUAAUUAACAUCUCGUUCUUUCGUUUACUGAAAAGUGUGUACUCAAUUCCAGUGCAAUAGUCCACAGUCUUCUGAGAAAUGAAAGGAGUCGCGAAGAAGAAAAAAAGAUGGCAGAAGAGAGCAGAGGGCGCUGGUGGUGGAGGAGGAGCGGCGGUAUUUCCGUUGUUGCAUAGUCCAUCCAUUUGGCAGGUUUAUCUGAGGGCAUGCGCGCGCGACAUGUGCCCACCUACCUACUUACCUACCUGCAUCCUAGUUUGCCUGUCAGCCAAACCUGCUCCUUCUCCCUCUAGCUCCUCUCUGCUUGUCUGUGCUCCACUCGACCUGCCUGCCUGCUUGCCUGCCUACCGGUUUGCCUUGAUCCCUUGAAUAGCCAGGAGGUGGGUUGGUAGGUAGGUAGGUAGGUAGGUAGGUAGAUAGGUAGGUAGGUACGUCUUUCUUACGUAAGCGCUCCACUAGAGAGCGAGUUAUCGCGGCAGGGUCGAGCGGAUGAACGGAUGGACAGAGAUUUCCAGAGCUCCAUCGAGAAAACUAACAAAGAUCUUGCUCAGAGCGUGUCCAUUGGCAAACGAUCCGAAGCUGAGUUUAUACAAAUUCCCUUGUGCAAUCGAAUUUUAUGCUAUUCAGCUAUAAAAAUCCAAGGAACGCUUAGUUAUUGAUCAGUUGCGAGGAUGGGACGAGGCUCGCACGAUUCAUUAUUUAUUGUCAAGGUCGCGAACUCUCCCCAUCAUUCUUUCAUUCUAUGUCUAGGUACGAUUGACGGGAACUGAACUGACAAGACAAAAACACAGCUAUCAGAACUAAUGGAUGAUAUUUUGAUGGUUGGAGCCACCAUUUCUCGCGAACGCUUGGCGGAUCAGCAAGCGGGCCAAGAACACAACCGUGAAUCGUACUUCUAUGUGGAGUCACGGCGCUUGUGCGGUGACACAGAUAUCUACGCCCUCUCUUCAACCCCCUUCGUUGCCCAGUGGCUUUCGUAGCUGCUGUAAACUGGGCCAGGGCAUCUAUGAAACGGACGCGCAAAUUUACUGGAUCAACUUUAACUCCUCGGGGCUAGGGAUAUUAGGGUCGCGCCGUUCCUUGAGUCUUGAGAGGCUUUUCCUUUUCCUAUUUUCCUCUGCGAACUCUACUACUUACCCCCCAAAACGGGGAUGCUUUGAGACUGACAUAGGAAACGAAUUGUCUCAUUUUGUCCCAUAAUUAAAAGAUCAUUAUAUGCGGGUUAGGAAGCUGAAUUGUGGAUAAUGUAUUUUCAAAGUUGCCAAGAUGGAGAAAAACCUUGUACGCAAUCCCCAUCUUGCCAGAUUCUAAAAUGCACUUAUACAUUUUUCAGCACGUCGUUCGAGGGGACAACUUGUCCGUGUAUUCGAAGCAGAAUGCAGCUGUAUUUUUCCUCAACGUGAGCUGAGAGGCGCAAUUGCGGAGGUUAGAAUGGGUUGCACGCGUGUAUCCAUAGUUGCACCGCUUCCUGCACAUGAAUACGGCUGUCCCACAUUUCGGUAAGUACGCCUACUGUCGCGUACAAUUUUACGAACUAGGUCGAAUGGCUCGACGGUCAUUCCGCGCAAAGUUAAUCGCCACGUCUGCCGGUCUGGCGAUUCGCUCUCGCCACGAACCGACCGCAGAAUUUUAUCGUCUCCUUAUCGCCACGAGGAAACGUGGCUCUGUCUUGUGUACGUACAGCGAACUGUAAACAAGAUACCGAUCUCAAUCGUACCUCGUGUUUAACCGUUUUCGAAUCGAUUUCGUUUGAAGACAUUUGUUGCAAUCCCGAAGAUCACCACCCCUUCUUAACGCAAAGACUUCAAGUCGCAAUACCAGAAAAAAUCUUAAUGAUCAUUAGCGUGUCUCUCUAGUAAUUACUGCCUGCUGUAGUUAGUUGCAAACUUCCUCUGAGGAAAAUGAGGGAAACAUUUAUAUUCCCUAUGCUUGAUCGCUUUUUGCGUCCCACUAUUAAAACCUUAGCUGCGGUAGAGCCUUGCGAAUAAACCCGCCAUUACUCUCACUUGAAUAAAUUUAAGUAAUUAAUAUUAUACUAGAUCAACGCAGUUUCUAUAGAGUCAUAUGAAUAGGGUGGGCUAGCAAACUCCAAUGCAAUUUCGAAUUGUCGAUAAAGUUGUCCACGAGUUUGAGCUGACAAUCGCCGGGAACUCGAUCACAGGUGUAUAGAGGCGUCGAUUUGCGCGUAACGAGCGUGUUCGACCGCUAUACGGAAGCGGCAUAUCGCGCGAGCGGACCCUUCCAGAGGAAGCGGACUUUCGCCCUACCCGCUCGACGUUGGAUCAUCGUUAAUUUUAGAGGGCAGCAGCGGCCUUCGAGCGGCAACUCCGCUGCUCUCCGUCUCUUUUAACGAGCACCGAUGAGAACGAAUUACUCUCGCUGCCUACUCCCCGUAAUUAUUCCACUUUUCGGUUUUCCGUCUUCCGUUCUUCACCGAUCUUCCUAGCUGAUAUUAAAUGCGCGUCGCAUCGUUAUUUCUCAUCACCGUCCCAUUACCGCCGCGAUUUCGCUAAAAAUGCUUAUUUCUUAAAAAAACCUUGCCAUUUCAACUGGUUCUUAAAUAACGCUGAUGGACGUUUUCUCGCCUUGGUUAACAGCUCUAAUAUUUCUGUACAUCGUUAAAAUUAUCCUAAGAAUUAUUUUCUCUUACUUUCUAUUCAAUCAUUGUUUUUUUUCUUUUUUACUCCAAAAAUAUGUAGAAAAAGAAUAAAAUGAUCAGAGAAGUUACGUUUCGGACGUGUAAAAAAUUUCAACGUCUAAACGUACGAAACGCGACGAGACUGUCGUACUAGUUUGGUCGCUCGUCGAGCUGGACCUUUGAGUCCAAUUUUUUUGCCUGGACGUGACUGCACACACCCAUCUGGGUAUAGUGUAUUAUAUACUCGCAUAGGCGUACACGUGCUUUACCCGUCAAGCAAUUCUUACGUAAGAACAAGAUUCGAUUCGACGAGAUUAUGUUCUUUUCUCAAAGCUGUUACACAUGCUUCGCCUUUCUUCAUCGUACACGCAGGUAAACAAUCCUCGAAACACGUAUCCCACGUGCACAUAUACCUACAGAUACUUACGCGAGUACGUGUCCACGAUGAAACGAAAUGGUCGCCACGUCGCGUCGUUUCCCGAUGCGAUUAAAUUAAAAAUAAUAGUGGCCGCACGAAUAUGGCGCGCAAUCGUUAAGAUUUUAGAUAGAUUUUCAGCGGGCAGAAUAUAGCGUGAAGCGGUGAAAGAAGAAGCGCGUUCCGUGCGACCAAGUCCGCGAACCUGUGGAAUAUCUAAAACGUGCUUUCGCCUUAUAUGGUCAUCUUUUUCAACUUGUCUCUUCCUUUUUAUUCGAGCUGGCAGUUCGUUCAUAAAAUUGCUUGUACGCCUUUCGCACAUGCCUCGUACGAUGCUUUGAAUAGAGAUCAGAAUUGGAUCGAGCGUAUUUCUUUAGUAGAUGCACGCGAUAAGCGUAAUGAGGUAGGCGAUGAAUCGAGGAUGGAGGUGAUCAUUGAUUUCUUUCAUAGAAAGAAACUUUUCAUGAGUUUACUCUGUAUUGGUUUCAGCAAUUUCUAGUCGUUUUUAUGUAUUCAUAGAAGAAAAAAUUGCUUGACUGUGGAACGAGGGAAACUCGUUGGCAAGAAGGCGCCCUUGUCUAGCGGUAUAUCCGUAACGCGACUAUUACCUUGGAAUCGCGAAUGCACGCGAUUACAUUUACCGAUUUGUGGUCAUAAAUUAAUAGCACGGCUUCGAGUAAAUGCGGCACAACCACGUGUAACCCAUUCUGUACGUGUGUACAGUAGAUACGAGCACGCGCCUCUGUAAAUGUAACUAUCCAAACAGUGGUACUCAUCAUGGAAAUUACCUGUUACGCAUCGACGCGCUUAUUUCGGAGCAAAAAUCGGGGUUUCCUCGAAUCAAAUGAUAAACAUGCUCGGAUUUUCUUGCUUCUAGAAUAUAAGUUUCGUCGCGAGGCACGUGGAAAUAUCCAUGAAAUACGCUAGGGAACGCAAACGAUAGCGAACAAUUACCGAUAUUCGCUAAUGCGCAAUAUGUCCGAGUCUGCUCCAAUACUCGAUGAAGACAAGUCCCGUCGGACAAAGAUUCGAAACUCACGUUCGGUGAGUAUAUUAUAAUUAUCGAAAUCGAAUCGCUAUCUCACGGCUUGGUGAGUACCACUGUUAUAGAGCGAUCAUGCGCGAUCUCCUAGCCUCUGCUCUGCCCCCGCAACCUGCGUUCUCCGCCUAGCCUUCUGUUAGUAGUUGCGUAACCCUGCAGAGUCAUGCGAUAGGAUAGCACAGUGCCGUGGUGCGGCGCGACCAACCAACACGAAUAAACCAGAACGAGAAGGAAUGAACGGAAAGGAAAGGAAACGAGCGAGAUGGACGAAGACGAUGGGACAAAGAGAAAGCAAGAAAGAGACGUUCAAAAAAGGUUAAGAAAGGAAGGAAGAGAUGGCUCAUCUUCGGGGGGUGGCAGUGGGAAUACGGGGACGAAGAGAUCGAGAGAGAGAGAGAGAGAGAGAGAGAGAGAGACGAAGAGAGUGUAGAGAAGAGGCGGUUCAGCCUUGAAACACCGCCGCACCGCGAGCGGCGGCUUCGUCACAAGUUCCGUGCUUCAACUCGCAUCGAAUCGUUUUUGCCCAUCUUCCCACGUCAAAGACAUACGCUGAUGUUCACCCCAAUUCACAGUUACUGUUUAAUGCUCUUCUUAUCAAGAUUUUCCUCUUCCAUCGAUCGAUGUUUCUCCUUAAUUUCACUUACAUGUAUGCGCACGCUACAUAUUGGUCCGCGAAAAGAUGGCAUGCGAUAUUGGAAAGAAGCAAUGGGGGAUCUUGGUUUGCUCCGCCUGACCCCACUCUUAAUGUCUAGUUUAAUCGCUACCCAUAGGUUCUAGAGGCUAUGCCACUGCUUUGAAGUCGUCGUCGCCGCAUCGCUCUGUUCCAGUCGCACUUAACCGGUUCGUUCGUUUCCUUCGUCGAGCGAUUCGACCAAUUACGAAAAAUCCUUGCGAUGCGAAGUAGGGAUAUCGGGUAGUGGGGCAUAGAUCCCUACAAGUUUUAGCCAUGCCAUCUUCUCGCGGACGAAUGGAACGUGUCUUUCGCUACUAACCUAACACGAAUUAAUUUUUACAACGAACUCUUUAUUAAACAAAAUAAUAGGAAACUAACAAUAAGAAUGAGAUGCAAAGAAAAAAAGUUUCCUUGCAAUGAUAGCUAGAACACAUUCGCGUACCUGAAAUAAUCUGCAAUUUAUUGUUCGCGGCAGUUUUAUCUGGUCCGCGGUAUCAACGAUUAAUAGCCAGCUGGUUAAUUUAUCGCCGAGGGUUCGUAUCAAAUAGAUGCAUAUAUCAUCGACGCGAUAGAAACGUAUUGGUUCAGGAUCUCAUGGGUCCCUAUGAAUUUUCAUCAUCCCUCUUCUCCAUACCCGACCAACCAUUAUACCUUCGUGGGGCGAAGAGUAAUCCGCAGUCACAGCAUCGUAUGCAAAAUUCUAAGAAGCGCAGUGACAGAUAAAAAUAGAUAAAAGCGACGGUAUCGCUGGCUCGCUGGCUUUCCGGGAACGGUUUCGUCAAUCAGGGUCACCGGUGCGGCUCGUUAUGUCUAAAAGCAGUUUCAUGUAACUCGAAGGAAACGAAACGAUGCUUGUACGCGUUCAGGAAGAAGCACGUUUCGGUCUCGAUAGAAGCGUCAACGUGAACAAUGCAGUCAUUUCGGUAAUAAUAAUGAAGCUGUUAAGCGGGUAGUUGUUUAUUCAGAAAUGCGGUCAGGGUGCGUGGUGAGAAACAAACGGUACGCGCGCACGUAAACGAAAAAAAAAGGACAGCAUGCAAAGAUGCGAAAUGCAAUCAGGGAUACGCGUGCUCGACACUUUUAGCAAAAGUUACGAAAUACGCAAUCUCUGCAGCGCUUACGAUAUCGAAAAUGUCUGACUUUCCUCUUGUCCGUAAGGAAAACUUUCGAAGACUAAUAAGCACAGCGCGGAUAAGAUGGGUAGAAGCGCAAAGUGCAGGAAACUAGAGCAGAGGGAAAUUGGUGAAAAUGCAUCUAGAGGGAGGAGAGAUCGUGUGGAGAGAAAAAUUGAGAAAGUGGAAUGAAACGGAGUGGUGAAGGAAGGGAAGGGGAUGGUAUAAAAAAGGCGAAGAGAAGAAAUGGAAAGAAACGUGUGCCGCGAAGAGGGUAGCUGCUUUCGACUUCGUAGUAGGCCUCGAUCGAUGUUGUUACCAUGGCUACGGGGGCAGUACUGCGGUGCUCUACUACUGAUUAUUUAUGUCAAGGAUCCUCCCCCUCCCUGCUUCGAAGCUCGAAACGCGUGCUCUAAACGCGAAUCACCCCGAUGCAAAUAACAAUGAGCAUUUCGUUCUCCCUCUAACGAACAACUCUUUCAGAUAUUAUUCUAAUUUUACCUGAGAUACUUAAUUUGACAUUUCCCACUAUGUUAGAUUCUAAAUAAUAUAUCUAAUUUAACGCUCUUCGUUUAAACGUAAAGCUGAAAUUAAUAAGUGUCCCAUGACUUAUUGACUUUAAAUAGCAUUAUGAAGCAAUUGAAAAGGCCUUUGGCUCACGGUUAAACUCGAUGCGAUAUCAUCGUAAAGAUAGAAGCAUUUAUUCUGAGGGCGGCCACUAGCGCAAUCACGUGACAAGCAUAACGAUGAGAUCAAACGCGAACCCUCGUACUUUUUUCCGCAAUGGUAGCAGAAAACAACGAGAAUCUAUGCAGAUAGGCUAGUCUUUCGUGAAAUUUAGAUCGGUAAGCAGAACGGAAUACUUUUAACCGAGCAGUCGACUAUGGUAAACCAAUAAAAAUUAAUCGCAUGAUUUAAAUGACGGAACAAGUGCAUUUCAUGUCAUCCAAGAGAUGUUUUUUUUUUUUUAAUUGCACAACAACCAUAGCAACGUAUUCAUUGACGUAACUAGGUAAAGACCAGGGUGAAAUGAUGAAAAUAAAUCAAAAACAUUGGGUCAAAAUCCAUGGAUUACCUACAUACAUAUAUAGCAAGCCAUUAAACUUUUUUAAUACAUCUUUCAUUCUUUUAUAAGAAAAGGUACGACACAUAAAUACGUCCGAACAAAUACCGUAACCUAUAAAGUAAGUUAUAUUUAUACGGUCGUAAUUUGAGUUCUUCGAUGGUAAAAGAUACAUAUGUACAUGAAAGUAUCGUAAAAAAAUAAGUAAAGAUCCACGCGAGGAUGAUGGUAUUACGGUUAGUACAUCGGAAAAUCGUAAAACGACGGUAAAUAUCAAAAUGAAUCUUGAUAAACGCGAAUUAAAAAUUGGCAUUUAAAUGAUGGCUAUUGCUAGCGGUUAAUGAUAACUGAAGUUGGAGCUUUGGUACUGCUUUCAAAGCGAAAGAACGGAGAGGAUGGAAAAGAACACGCAGAGGAAAGUAAGUACUCCCGUUGGGAAGGUUGCUUUCGACCCAAUUUCACCCUCCCAUAGUGGUGGUACCGUCAUGGAGCAAUCGAUACUGCGCCUAAGGGACGUGCCAGCGUGCUCUAUCAGUACGACGUUUAUCGCUCUAGCUUGCGCAGAAGCGACGAUUGCAGUUAAAACAAAAUAACAUUUUUCGCUCUUUAUCUUUCUAAUGACAUAUUAACCUAAUUUUUAUCCAUAAUUUGAACCUCUUUGAUUAUCCACACGCAAGCCAUUUUGCUUCGAGGUAUGGUUUUCAAAACGAAAGGACUAUGGACGUUCGGCAGGUGACGAGGUAGAUUAAAAUUAAUAUUAUAGCAACACUUUCGAUGUUUAAAUUUAUUUAUUUAUUUAUUCGCGAAUCAUAGUUCAUUGUUGGUUAACACAAACAUAAUAAAACAAUAAUAUGUUGAUUCAUGAUUAUUUGAAUAAGUCGCGUUGUUUUCUGUAAACGAGUAGUUUUGAUUAUUAUGCUUAGGAAUUUGGUGCACAAUCACUCCAAAAGGUAACUUUUCUCUAUGUACACGUCAUGCAAUAUUUAUAGCCAAUGAUUAUUACCGUUCAUUUGAAUGCGAAAUAACUUUUUUUCCUCAGUUACGAUUCAGUCAUUGAGAUACCGAAUCACAACACAUGCAAGUAGAAAUUUUUAUUCAGUUUCCUUGUAAACAUAAAAAACAUUGAAGGUCUUCGAUAAAAUAAGUGAAAAUCUGUCAAUUUAAACUUUGGUAAAAUUUAUUCAGAAGUUGUUUUUAACUUUAUUCAAUUAGGCAAAGAAAGUGAGAAGUUCAUUGCAAUUUUUACAAUCUUGUUAAUAUAAUUCAUUCUUUGUUUUCUUGCCGACGGUACCUUUGAAAUAAACGAAAAGUUGUUUAACAGCUAUGCUUACAUCUGCAUUUCCGAUGUAAAUUGUGCGUAAUGGGACAAUUAUUCGCUAUCGAAAACGUGUAAUGAUAAUACACAGAGUGGGCGGAUGAGGUCAUACAUAUAAUAAAUUUACCCACCAGACAUUACAAACUACCGUUUUCCUACAUGCCUAAAAUUUCUCGUCUCCCCAACGAAAAAUACACCUUUCCCUCUGCAACUGUGUAACUUAUAAAGAAUCAUUAAAAAGAAGAAAAAAAAAAA